Molecule: long non-coding RNA, 265 nt
Filed under: Neodiprion pinetum (white pine sawfly)
Lineage: Eukaryota; Metazoa; Arthropoda; Insecta; Hymenoptera; Diprionidae
Description: uncharacterized LOC124219644
Source: RNAcentral
GGUCAGACGUGUCCUGUUGUUCGUUGUUCGGCUCAAUUCGCUCCAACCUUCCAGCAGGCGUUUCUUACGUACGUGACCUAUGACUCGACCGGCGAAUGUGGAGGGGGAGUUUGCCUCGGCCGUGAAUCAUCAGGCAAAGAAACCCGAGGUGACUUACAUUACGAUCGGAAAAUGCUCACGCGGAACAUUCGUCUCCAAUGGAUGUGGACAUCCAUGAUGGACAUGCGAUACUCCAUUUCAACCAAAAUUAGGAGCAAUGGAGCUC